UGGAUAGAUAGUAGGAGAGAGGCCUGGAACAGAUCCUUCCCUAGCAUCUUCAGAGGGAGCAUGGACCUACCUACACCUUGAUCUCAUAAUCCAGUCUCCAAAAUGGAAGGACACUUCUAUAAAAGACGGAGUUGGUUGUACUUCCCAUGAAACCAUUAUUGAAGACACACAUUUGCAUAACAGCAAUGAGAGAAAAGUUGCCGUGGCCAAAAUCAUCUGAAGAAAUUAGAAGCAUGAGACUAGGACAAAGAAGGAAGAGCAGGACUGGGAAGCAAAGAGUUCAGUGGGCAAUCUAGGUUUGGCUUACUCUGGAGCAUUUAAUUAUGCCCCAUGAUCCAGGAAAAAGGGUUGCUCAUGUAAGGAGUCCAACAUACACUACAUGGCACUUUCACUACAUUUUUCUAAUGAAAAUUGCCAAAUUCUUAUGUGUGCCUGAUCUGAUUCAGCCCAGGGUCAGAAAUCCAGGCUCCUUUGCCCAUCUAAUAAGAAAGAAUGAAAGUUGAAAGCCGCUCUCAGAAAUGGACAUGUAAGAAGACAUACACAGGUAUCAAUUCAUAUAUCCAUACAGGAAAGAAGGAAGGAAGGAAGGAAGGAAGGAAGGAAGGAAGGAAGGAAGGAAGGAAGGAAGGAAGGAGGAUACCCCAAGUAUAAAUGGAUUCAAGCUACUUGGAAUUUGGUAAGUGUGAUUCUCACUUGAGGGUGAGGUGGUCUAGACCUAUGUAUGCCACAGGGGAGAAGCAGUCAAACUUAAGUCUGAUAAAGAAUCAUCACAGGUCAUGUUAAAAGUAGAUUCCAGUAUUCUCCUCAAAGAUUCUGAUUCAUUUGGUCUGGAAAAGGAUCCUGUAACCUCUCCAGAUUAAUCUAAAAUAUAGGGUCGA
RNAcentral lists this long non-coding RNA (878 nucleotides) under Homo sapiens (human). RNAcentral describes it as "long non-coding RNA NONHSAT185777.1". Lineage: Eukaryota; Metazoa; Chordata; Mammalia; Primates; Hominidae. The record is from RNAcentral.